AUCCAACUAACGAGUGUGAAAUAGGGCGAAACGUGAGUCCUGGAU
This 45-nucleotide non-coding RNA is filed under the name Schistosoma mansoni. Lineage: Eukaryota; Metazoa; Platyhelminthes; Trematoda; Strigeidida; Schistosomatidae. The record is from RNAcentral.